AGUGAACGCUGGCGGUAGGCCUAACACAUGCAAGUCGAACGGCAGCACAGUAAGAGCUUGCUCUUACGGGUGGCGAGUGGCGGACGGGUGAGGAAUACAUCGGAAUCUACUUUUUCGUGGGGGUUAACGUAGGGAAACUUACGCUAAUACCGCAUACGACCUACGGGUGAAAGCAGGGGAUCUUCGGACCUUGCGCGAUUGAAUGAGCCGAUGUCGGAUUAGCUAGUUGGCGGGGUAAAGGCCCACCAAGGCGACGAUCCGUAGCUGGUCUGAGAGGAUGAUCAGCCACACUGGAACUGAGACACGGUCCAGACUCCUACGGGAGGCAGCAGUGGGGAAUAUUGGACAAUGGGCGCAAGCCUGAUCCAGCCAUACCGCGUGGGUGAAGAAGGCCUUCGGGUUGUAAAGCCCUUUUGUUGGGAAAGAAAAGCAGCAGAUUAAUACCCCGCUGUUCUGACGGUACCCAAAGAAUAAGCACCGGCUAACUUCGUG
This 492-nucleotide ribosomal RNA is filed under the name uncultured bacterium. Its description in RNAcentral is "partial 16S ribosomal RNA". It matches the Rfam family "Bacterial small subunit ribosomal RNA", at positions 29 to 507 of the family's 1533-position model. The record is from RNAcentral.